UGGAGCUUGCGGCUUAAUUUGACUCAACACGGGAAAUCUCACCAGGCCCGGACACCGGCAGGAUUGACAGAAUGAGAGCUCUUUCUCGAUUCGGUGGGUGGUGGUGCAUGGCCGUUCUUAGUUGGUGGAGUGAUUUGUCUGGUUAAUUCCGAUAACGAACGAGACUCCGUCCUGCUAACUAGUUGCGAGGUCAAGCUUUGCCUCGCAAAUUCUUCUUAGAGGGACUGACAGCAUCUAGCUGUACGAGAUGGAGCAAUAACAGGUCUGUGAUGCCCUUAGAUGUCCUGGGCUGCACGCGUGUUACACUGAAGGGAUCAGCGUGUUUUCCCUGACCGAGAGGUCCGGGUAACCCGCUGAACCCCCUUCGUGGUAGGGACCGGAGCUUGCAAUUAUUCUCCGUGAACCAGGAAUGCCCAGUAAGCGCAAGUCAUAAGCUUGCGUUGAUUACGUCCCUGCCCUUUGUACACACCGCCCGUCGCUACUACCGAUUGAACGUUUUAGUGAGGUAUUUGGACUGGGCCUCUGGUGGUUCGCGCCUCCAGUGUUGCCUGGGAAGACUCCCAAACUUGAGCGUUUAGAGGAAGUAAAAGUCGUAACAA
RNAcentral lists this ribosomal RNA (599 nucleotides) under Eucyclops agilis. Its description in RNAcentral is "SSU rRNA". It matches the Rfam family "Eukaryotic small subunit ribosomal RNA", at positions 1177 to 1797 of the family's 1831-position model. Lineage: Eukaryota; Metazoa; Arthropoda; Copepoda; Cyclopoida; Cyclopidae. The record is from RNAcentral.